This 383-nucleotide ribosomal RNA is filed under the name uncultured marine Chaetocerotaceae. RNAcentral describes it as "SSU rRNA". It matches the Rfam family "Eukaryotic small subunit ribosomal RNA", at positions 587 to 972 of the family's 1831-position model. The record is from RNAcentral. Lineage: Eukaryota; Bacillariophyta; Thalassiosirophyceae; Chaetocerotales; Chaetocerotaceae.
AGCUCCAAUAGCGUAUAUUAAAGUUGUUGCAGUUAAAAAGCUCGUAGUUGAAUUUCUGAUAGAAGGGAGCGGUUCCGCAUUCUUGCGGAUACUUGCUCGUCUUCCGUCAUCCUUGGGCUUAGUCUCGCUGAUAUUAACUUAUCGGCGUGUACGAUGCCCAUCGUUUACUGUGAGCAAAUUAGAGUGUUCAAAGCAGACUUAUGUCGUUGAAUAUAUUAGCAUGGAAUAAUAAGAUAGGACCUAGUGACUAUUUUGUUGGUUUGCGUUAUUAGGUAAUGAUUAAGAGGGACAGUUGUGGGUAUUCGUAUUCAGAUGUCAGAGGUGAAAUUCUUAGAUUAUCGGAAGACGAACUACUGCGAAAGCAUUUACCAAGGAUGUUUUCA